GUCAAUUCUGCCCAAUGAUUUUAAAUAAUUAAAUGGCUGCGGUAUAAUUGACUGUACAAAGGUAGCAUAAUCAAUUGUUUUUUAAUUAAAAACUGGAAUGAAAGAGUUAAUGAGAUAUACACUGUCUCAUAUAUAUUAAAUUAAUUUAAAUUUUUAGUUAAAAUGCUAAAAUUAAUUUAUGGGACGAUAAGACCCUAUAGAAUUUUAUAUUAAUAUUUUAAUUAUAAUUUUAUUAUUGAAUAUUAAUAUUUUGUUGGGAGGAUAGGUAAAUUUAUUAAACUUUAUUUUAAAUAUUAACUUUAAUUAAAGAAUAUAUUUUGAUCUUUUAGUAAAAAUGAAAAGAGUAAAUUACCUUAGGGAUAACAGCGUAAUAUCUUUUUAAAGAUCUUAUUGAAAAAGAUGAUUGCGACCUCGAUGUUGAAUUAAGAUAAAUUUUAAAUGAAGAAAUUUAAUAAUUAAGUCUG
RNAcentral lists this ribosomal RNA (464 nucleotides) under Bombus terrestris (buff-tailed bumblebee). RNAcentral's name for it is "partial 16S large subunit ribosomal RNA". The stretch from base 1 to 128 matches the Rfam family "Archaeal large subunit ribosomal RNA", at positions 1944 to 2099 of the family's 2987-position model. The record is from RNAcentral. Lineage: Eukaryota; Metazoa; Arthropoda; Insecta; Hymenoptera; Apidae.